CUGGUUAUUCCAGAAACACCAGUCGCUGAGGAUCUCUCAUCUGCAGUUCCCUGCUGGAUCUUCAUUCUGACUGGUUAACCAAUUGUUCCAGUGCAUUGAAGGGCUAGGAUUUCAUCAUCGAAUUGCUUUGUACCUAUGUUGAAAAUAAAAUGGUGAUGUGUA
Molecule: non-coding RNA, 162 nt
Organism: Macaca mulatta (Rhesus monkey)
Lineage: Eukaryota; Metazoa; Chordata; Mammalia; Primates; Cercopithecidae
Source: RefSeq, a predicted model, not a curated record